CGGGGUCGCCCUCAUGUUUGCGCUGAGGCAGCUCUGGUUGCUCCAGAACCUGGUGGGCUGGUUCAACCUGACAUGAGGAAACCCUGAGACACCUGGAACGCAAGAAACGGAUUAAGAAAGAAGUCAAGUCUGCAUUUCCACACACACAAAUGAAACGUACAGCUGGCCAGCUCAUAGUUCCAGUCUUCAGCUUCAGCUCUGAGGACCUGCCUUAUAAGAAAUCCCUGCCUCAAAAGCUCCCUGGCCAAGAGAAGGAUGUUACAGCUCUCCUACCGGAAGGGAUCAGGCCUUUCUCUAAGCAUGCUAGUUUUCUAGUCCUUUUGAAACAUCGGGUUGGGAGCCGCAAUGGAGACAAUGCUACAGGCAUGGUUUGACCUGGUAUGUCCACUGCAUGGUGUGCAUAAGUCCUGGGGUUAAUGUAAGUAUAUACUAGGACUUCGGCAACUCUGUCAUACUGUUGGCUCUUUUAGGUUUGUGGCCAACUAGAAAUCCUAGACCUUUAUUCACAAACUGCAGGUGUCUCCCAGGUGUCAUUUUGUACUGUGAUAGCUGAUUUUAUAAGAUCUAACUUUAGUAUCACAUCUAUUUAUUUCUACUAAAUAUCACUUUUUUAUCAAGAUUACUAUUUUGGUUCUUUAACAGAUAAAUCAUAAGGCAAAAAGUGACAGAAGGGCAACUUGUAGAAUAAAAGAGAUUUAAUGAUAUAUCAACAAAUUGCAAUGUGUAGGCUUUGUUUGGAUCCUGAUUUAAACAAAUAAACUGUAAAAAAAUUUAUAUUUGAGACAAUUGGAAAUUUGAGCAAUGGAUAUUUGAUGAUGUUAAGAAAUUAUUGAAGUUUCUUUUUAGGUGUGAGAAUAGUGUUAAGAGAUUUUGUUUUUAACAAGCAGGAUGUCUGAGAUUUGCUUCAAAAUAAAAUGAGGGAGGGGAAAAUAGUAGGGGUAUAGGAGAAACAAGAUUGGCUGUGAGUUGAAAAUAGUUGAAGCUGGAUGAUUGGUCCAUGGGGUUUCUUAUGUAAUUAUGUCCACAUUUGUGAAUGUUUGAAAUUAUCCAAAAGGAAAAUUAUUUUGAAUCUUGCCUCUGUCAUCCAACAUGUUAACUGCUCUUAGCCCUGUACCCUUCAUCUAAUAAGUAUGAUUUCUGUCUCUAUAUCUAAGUAGUUAAUGCACAAGUCAACCAGGUCAGCACUACAAGCACAUCUCUGUGACCCACCAAGAGCUACUAAGCUGACUGAUCUGUGAUGUAGUGAUAGUCCGUCCUCUUUGGAAAUGGCUGAUCAAUGAACCAUGAUUCCACCUACUUCAAUUAUCUCGUCCUCAUUUACAAUGAUAUCAUGAAAGAUUUGUUCAGUACCUUGUAAAAAUCAAAAUGCAAAAUUCUAACCAUCAUCCUUAUUUGCACUUUUGCAAUCUGUUUUUCUAGCUAAGAUUUUAAUCCAUUUGUUCUAAGUGAAUUGCGAGUAGAGUUGGUGCCAAAUAUCGAUCUUUCUUUUCCAAAACGCCCGAAAGUCACUUGCUUUAAAUAAUGCAAUUUUGAAAUUUAUAGCAUAAACAUAACUCACUGUACUUUGUCCCUACUGUAAAGUCUGGCCAAUCACACCCAGCUGGCCUCACACGUGACCCAGGCCGUGACAGUCAAAGUCUAACCCUGGACUUUAGUUGGGAAACGCAUUUUUUCCCCUGCUAAAUUGAAAGGUUGUAAUCCUGUAGACACUGGUGGCCAUCUUGCCACCACCUGGGUAGAGUCUGCUUGAGAAUGAUGCCAACACAGAGGAAAGCAGAGCUGAGGAAUGGAAAGAGAUUCUUGGAUUACCUCAUUUGAGCCUCUAGUUUUAGCUAUGCCUAAAGCUAGCAACCCCUGUCAUUUUUGGCUAUGUGAGCCAAUACAUUCUAUUCUUUUCUUAAAAUCAGUUUAAGCUGGAUUUCUGUCACUUGCAAAAGAAGUUCUGACUAAUACAGUGAGUGUUAUUGGUUGAACAAUGGAAUGCAUAAUCUAAAAUGUUCUGUUUUGUAUAAUUUUUGUAUGAUUAUAUUGUAUAUGCAGCAUUAUUUUUAUAACUUUAUUGAGGUAUAGUUUGCAUAUCAUAAAAUUCACUUAUUAAAGCAUACAAUCCAGUCAUUUCUGGCAUAGUCACAGAAAUGUGCAGUUAUUACCACCAUCUUAUUUAGAACAUUUUCAUGCUGCCAAAAGAAACUGUAUCCAUUACUUAUCACUCCCCAAACUCCAAAUUUUUGUGGAAAUUCCCAAGCUUCUCCCCAACCUACUGCAUCAGAAUUUCUCUUUCUCCCAUACAUAGAAUCAUAGACUGCUAGGGCUGGGAGAUCCCAUUGGGUCUUCAUUUUUAAAUUGAUAAUAUAGCCAGAAGAUGAUUGGCUUUUCCUCUAACUCCCUGGACCCAUCAAGGCCAGACUGAGUCCUCAGUGUGCAUCUUUCCAAUAUAUUCAAGUGCAACAGUAUUUGUGACUAAUGAGAUUUUACUGAAGGUUUCAUGGGAAGGUGGAGAAGAGAAUUGCAUCACACAUCACAAAGCAAAACUUAAUUAGAUCCCUCCAUUUGACUAGCUAGACUUGUUCUUCCACCAAAAGUUUUCUCCCUUGCUACCAUAUCGCCAGGUCUCUUCUCUUCAUCCCUCCUACUACACAACUUCUGAAAUUCCCUCUUUUUUCCCCAAACCAUUCAACCAUGGUCUCAAAUUUAUACACCACACUCAACAAAGCAAAAGUAUAGUAGCUAUUUUUGUACACAACUGUUUUUCCUCAAACGUGCUCCUUGAGAAACGGAGUGGUAUCUCAAUUCAUUUUAUGGUCGUAGAGCCAUAUCAAUAAUAAGUACUUCCUUAUUUAUUAUUGAUGUAGCUUAUUAAGAACAAAACACUGGGCUAAGUAUCUCACAAAAUGACUUACUUGAUGUCAUGUAGUUCAUUAGUGGCAAAUCUGGUAUAUAACUUUCAUUAUAAGGGUCAAAGCACAACUUCUCAGGCAUUCAUAUACGUAGACUUCAAUUUCUUUGGCUUAACAGCCCUGUGGGAUACGUGGAAAGGAUAUAUUAUUUCAUCUUCCAAAUAUAGGGAAACUGAGGUAC
Molecule: long non-coding RNA, 3078 nt
Organism: Rhinolophus ferrumequinum (greater horseshoe bat)
Lineage: Eukaryota; Metazoa; Chordata; Mammalia; Chiroptera; Rhinolophidae
Exons: 4
Source: RefSeq, a predicted model, not a curated record